GACGAACGCUGGCGGCGUGGAUUAGGCAUGCAAGUCGAACGGUAUCAUCCUUUCGGGGAUGAGAGAGUGGCGAACGGGUGAGUAACACGUAGGUGAUCUACCCUCAAGACGGGGACAACCCAGGGAAACUUGGGCUAAUACCGGAUGUGAGCUAUCGUGAGAUAGUUUGAAAGGUGGCUUCGGCUGCCGCUUGAGGAUGAGCCUGCGUCCUAUUAGCUAGUUGGUGAGGUAACGGCUCACCGAGGCAGUGAUAGGUAGGCGGCCUUAACGGGUGGUCGCCCACACUGGGAUUGAGAUACGGCCCAGACUCCUACGGGAGGCAGCAGUCGAGAAUAGUCUACAAUGGUCGGAAGACUGAUAGUGCGACGCCGCGUGAACGAUGAAUCCCUUCGGGGUGUAAAGUUCUUUUAUAUGUGAGCAGUGCUUCUUAUAUUAACAGUAUGGGGAGAGAGAUAUUAGCAUAUGAAUAAGCAACGGCUAACUCCGUGCC
Molecule: ribosomal RNA, 490 nt
Filed under: uncultured bacterium
Lineage: Bacteria
Description: bacterial SSU rRNA
Rfam family: Bacterial small subunit ribosomal RNA
Source: RNAcentral